Molecule: ribosomal RNA, 110 nt
Filed under: Prolemur simus (greater bamboo lemur)
Lineage: Eukaryota; Metazoa; Chordata; Mammalia; Primates; Lemuridae
Source: RNAcentral
UUCUACAGCCAUACUACCCUGAACGUGCCGGAUCUCAUCUGAUCUUGGAAGCUAAGCGGGGUUGGGCCUGGUUAGUACUUAGAUGGAAGACAUUGGCCUAGGCAAAGAAU